GCAAAUUUACACCGUAACUUCGGGAGAAGGUGUGCCGCUGGCGGUUAGUGACUCCGCGUCACGAAGCUGUUGGUGGUCGCAGUGAAAUGGCGGUUGUGACUGUUUACUAAAAACACAGGACUCUGCGAAGUCGUAAGACGACGUAUAGGGUCUGAUGCCUGCCCGGUGCUGGAAGGUUAAGGGGAUAUGUCAGCGCAAGCGAAGCAUUGAACCGAAGCCCCAGUAAACGGCGGCCGUAACUAUAACGGUCCUAAGGUAGCGAAAUUCCUUGUCGGGUAAGUUCCGACCUGCACGAAGGGCAUAACAACAUCCGCACUGUCUCGACCAGGGACUCAGCGAAAUUACAUUGGGGGUGAAGAUGCCCUCUACCCGCGGAAAGACGGAAAGACCCCAUGAACCUUUACUGCAACUUGGCAGUGAUUUUCGGGUUGUUCUGCGUAGGAUAGGUGGGAGGCUUUGAGGCCGGGCUUCCGGGUUCGGCAGAGCCAACGUUGAAAUACCACCCUGAAUAAUCUGGAAAUCUAACCUGCGCCCAUGAUCUGGGCGAGGGACACUGCCUGGUGGGCAGUUUGACUGGGGCGGUCGCCUCCUAAAUUGUAACGGAGGCGUGCGACGGUUCCCUCAGGCUGAUUGGAAACCAGCCGUAGAGUGCAAACGCAUAAGGGAGCUUUACUGCGAGACUGACAAGUCGACCAGUUGCGAAAGCAGGUGUUAGUGAUCCGGUGGUACCACAUGGAAGGGCCAUCGCUCAUCGGAUAAAAGGUACUCUGGGGAUAACAGGCUGAUCGCGCCUGAGAGUUCACAUCGGCGGCGCGGUUUGGCACCUCGAUGUCGGCUCAUCGCAUCCUGGGGCUGGAGCAGGUCCCAAGGGUUUGGCUUUCGCCAAUUAAAGCGGUACGCGAGCUGGGUUUAAAACGUCGUGAGACAGUUUGGUCCCUAUCUUCCGUGGGCGCAGGACACUUGAGAGGAGCUAUCCAUAGUACGAGAGGACCUGGAUGGACGAACCUCUGGUGCUCCGGUUGUCACGCCAGUGGCAUAGCCGGGUAGCCAUGUUCGGAACAGAUAACCGCUGAAGGCAUAUAAGCGGGAAGCUGGCCUCAAGACUAGGUGUCCCUGACGCAAGUCACUAAAGGCCCCUCGAAGACUACGAGGUUGAUAGGCUAGGUGUGGAAGCGCUGCGAGGCGCGGAGCUAACUAGUACUAAUAGGCCGUGCGACUUGACCCC
RNAcentral lists this ribosomal RNA (1225 nucleotides) under metagenome. RNAcentral's name for it is "bacterial LSU rRNA". It matches the Rfam family "Bacterial large subunit ribosomal RNA", at positions 1717 to 2925 of the family's 2925-position model. The record is from RNAcentral.